CACUUUUAACCGCUUUUAUUCAAUAUGUUCUUUUAAAGAAAGUUGAAUGCCGUUUAAAGCGUGCCUUCGGGUCGUGUCACAUGAAAUUCACACGCAAUCCUAAGCACACUCUAUUCAAUAUUUUGGGAUUGAAUUUGGGUUGCAUGAAAUGCACACCCGAGUUUGAGAAUGUAAAUCUAUUAAAAUCACGCUUAAAGUGACAAACGCGUUAUUAUCUUUUAGGAAAUCCGUAAUAUUUGCUAAACAGCCCGUCACGGACUUCUAAGUAUUUUUAAACUUGUAUUGAGGGCCCCGCAAUUUUGUAUUUUAUUGGGCGAGGCUCAUCUCAUUUUGUUUUAAAAGGGCAAACCUAAAAGCAACUGUAUUUUUCUAUUUUUGUUUUGUCUCUAAAAGAAAAGAAAAGAUCCUAAUUAAUUAAUAUUAAAGUCCGGGCUUCAAGUUCAAGUCCAAGUCCAAACAAAAAGAAGAACCUUUUAAUUUGUACCCGCUACCUUACUCAAAACCCAAACUUAUGUUAUGCUUAAAGCAUAGAUUUAAUUCUUUGAACCAAGCCCAAAUUGUUGGGUUAUGGAACUGGGCUUGCAUAAAGAGCCCAAUCCCCAUUUCCCUUCGGCUGUGUGCGACUCAUAUAUCGAGUUUGGGUGGAAGCACUCCAAAUUUCCAACUGACUGUCCACACUCACAAAGCUUGCAUUAGGCUGUUAACACUGUGACUGCGCCCAAGUCUCAGUCUAUGCGGCCAGAAUUCUUCACCAAUUAAAUCAACGAACCAUGGUCUAGGCCUUCGACUGGCCAGUAGGGCUCAAAAUCAUAAUCCCGAGGAAUUUGCAACAAAUUACAGCCAGUAUUAGCGAGAAACAAUUUAAGAAAACAUGGAUGAACUAUUUCAAAACAACUACACAAUUAUCGUUACUAAUGGCUUAACUGAAAUGCUCACAAUGUGAAAGUGACAAUUGUUAACCCAUAUUAAUAACUAAUCAUAGUUCAUUCCUGAUUCGAGUUUGCUGACAAAUUGACAUGACUUAAACUAAUUUUAACAAUGACUGGGCAUAUAGAAACUACGGCAGCAAGCUUUUGAUCUAUGAUUUGGAUAACAUAAUGCACCUUCAUUCAUUUGUAUUUACCUAAGCUAACAAACAAUGGAACAAAUAAUUGAGGGAUCAUAUGUAUUGCUACUGAUAAGGUCCACCUGGCUUAUUUAACUAUCUCUUGACCAAAUACAGCCUAUUCAAUAGAUUUUAAUCAACUAAACUUGUUACAAAAUGAUUAUACACUACAUGAACAACCACAGAUUCCACAUUUCCGUAGUUCCACAUGCUCAAGCAGUCCAAAGUUAAUACAAUUAAGUCAUUUCAGUCCAACUUCUAGGCAGUUCAUACCAAUGAAAAAAAAAAUUCCAUUCAAACUCAAACAAAUUAAGCCAAACAACUAGGCACAACAGACUACAACUAUAUUAAGCAACAGAGGAGUCUUGAUCCCAAGCUUCAUUUCAUUUCAACAAACAAAAGUGUAAAAAUAUGUACCUGGAUUUGAGAUAAAUAAGAGAAGGAGGAGUCAGCAAGAGGGUAAUAAUGAGCAGCAAUGAGAUUCCAGCGGCAAACGCAGUCAGUUUCGAAUCAAAAUUGAAUCAGUGACCCAAGAGAUUUAGAAUCAAACAGAGCAGAGAAAUUAAGCCCAGAGCAGCCCCAAAUGAACCAAAUUAGACUUGAGAUUCACCAAAAAUACACAGCCACGACACCGAUCUCGAACAAACCACUUGAAAAUCAACUAGUAAUUUCAGAAACCCGCGGUACUCAAAGCUCAAAAAUCAAUUCAUAUAUCCCUGAACCUAUGAACUUUGAAAUGAAAGCCAAAUGCUCGGAAAAACUUGAAAUUAAACUGGGAUUCUAAUGAAACAGCAACCACUUUUGAUUUUUUGAAUUUUAUUUUGUUUUUGGAUCUUUUCAGAAAUCUGUACUGUUUUUGGGAUUUUCUAUAUAGAA
RNAcentral lists this long non-coding RNA (1981 nucleotides) under Nicotiana benthamiana. RNAcentral describes it as "long non-coding RNA (NBEN_LNC034160)". The record is from RNAcentral. Lineage: Eukaryota; Viridiplantae; Streptophyta; Magnoliopsida; Solanales; Solanaceae.